UUUACCAAUUACCUGUACACCGCCGAGUACAGGGAAAUGAUCCCCACCACGACCCCUCAAGCACAACAGCCCUUAUUCGAUUAUUCUUGUUCGAAGAUCCGUGCAGAGUGCUUCAUAUCGCAUGAGCACAAAAUAGUGAAUAGGUAGCGAUUGCCAGCGCAGCUGUCAGUUGCGGACUUGCAGUACGGCGGUGGUGUUCGGCAGUGCUGGCCGACGUUCGUCGCCCCGAGAUGUAGGCAUGUCGAAGUCGCUGUCAAGUAAAUUGCAAUAAAUCAUCAUCUUAUUAGCCGCUAUUUUCAAUUAUCUUCUUUUGGACUUCCGUUUACGAAUCUGUUGAUCUGGGCAAUAUUACAGGUGGUUUGCGGCAAAGUGGAGGACGUCACGCUGCCCUGUAAUGUGAAUAUUAUUGUUUCUGAUUGGAUGGGGUUCUAUAUGUUACAUGAGAGCAUGUUGGACAGCGUUAUCAUAGCGCGUGACAAGUUUUUAAAACCAGACGGCCUGAUGUUUCCGUCUCAUUGUACGCUCUAUGCAUCUCCAUGUGUAUUACCAGAUCUCUAUUCGGAGUGGGACAAUGUUUGUGGUGUGAAAAUGCGGUCAUUCGCACAAGCAUUGCGUAGCUUGUACUUGAAUAGACCAAAAAUCACGAGCAUUGAAGUUGAGAAUGUGCUUUCUCGUAAUGUCAGUCCCAUUGCAGAAUUUAAUCUUAAGAAUUGUCAACCACAACAGCUUGAUAAAAUCACGGCACAACGAUACAUUACCAUUGUUGAGAAGAGCGGAAUUUAUCAAGGAGAAGAUUUUAAAUUGGAAUAUGAAGAAUAAAUCAGCAAAAGAAACAUACAUUAUGGAUCAGCAUUCAGCAGCACCCAACAUUACCAAAAAAAUAUUUAUCUAUGGAACAAAUUACAUGGCUGUGUGGUAGCCAUAGAUAAUAGAAAUAUUCUUCUGUUAUCUAUGGUGGUAGCAGUGUAGCGACAACUACCACGGAAUAGAUGAAAUAGAUGCAACUACUACAGCACAGCCAGCAGCUGCAGAUAGCACUAUCUAUGGAAUCCAUAGACAUAAAUCUAUCGAAUUUCUUUUUUAUAUAGUCCGCGGUAGUGUAAAACUGUAUCUCUGAAAUCAGUAUUUAACAGCUGCUGGUUAACAUUCGGUUGACACUUUUUCAAGAUUCGUUGUAUCUUUAUCGUGGUAGACUGUGGUAGCGGCGCUAUCAGCAACCACACUAUAUAAUCACUAAAUGGCAAAUGCUAUCAGAUCCAGAUGUGCGACGGAGUAUCACGGACCUUCUGACCUUAUACCGAGUCUAUGCGGAGUAUGAUCAUUGAUCUUCGACA
Metopolophium dirhodum (rose-grain aphid) is the source of this 1334-nucleotide RNA transcript. RefSeq lists it as uncharacterized. The transcript has 4 exons. Lineage: Eukaryota; Metazoa; Arthropoda; Insecta; Hemiptera; Aphididae. The record is from RefSeq and is a predicted model, not a curated record.